UGUAGAAGAAGUGAUUUUUCAGUUGGCCGACUUUGUCGUCGAAAUCCAGACGGUUCUUGAGUGAAUCUUCCCCAAUUUGUAGUCCACCAAAAUAUUGUAAGUUAAUCUAUGUUGUUUUCUAUUGUUAUUGUUUGAAAUCGUAUAUGAUGGAUGACUAUGUGCAUGAAGAAAUUUUGGAAUGUAAGUUAGUCUCUUAUUUUUUUUUCUUUUUUCUAUUGUUAUUAUUUUGUUGUUCUUUUGUUAUUGUAUGAAAUCUUAUGUGAUGGAGGACACUCUAAAAAUAUAUUUGUAAUACAAAUGGUCAUAUUUUAUGUUAUUUUUUAUUGGCUAGAAAUAUAUAUAGAAAUGGAGUUGAUGUAUAUCCUGACGAAAUGAGAAGCUGAAUGAUAUUCUUUUAUGUUGUAUUUUUUUGUGCGAUUAAAGCAUAAGAUAAAUCUGGUAAUUUUGUUGUGUUUGUUACAAUGUGUAGUUUUAGUGGUGUUCGAUUUGAAUGUACCUGAUGUUGAUGAUUUGAAAUUUUAUAAUAAUAUUUUGAAUGAUGAAAAUCUUG
Molecule: long non-coding RNA, 550 nt
Filed under: Salvia miltiorrhiza (redroot sage)
Lineage: Eukaryota; Viridiplantae; Streptophyta; Magnoliopsida; Lamiales; Lamiaceae
Description: long non-coding RNA (SMIL_LNC000383)
Source: RNAcentral